CGCGGCCUAUCAGCUUGUUGGUGGGGUAACGGCCUACCAAGGCGAAGACGGGUAGCUGGCGUGAGAGCGUGACCAGCCACACUGGGACUGAGACACGGCCCAGACUCCUACGGGAGGCAGCAGUGGGGAAUAUUGCGCAAUGGGCGAAAGCCUGACGCAGCGACGCCGCGUGGGGGAGGAAGGCCCUCGGGUUGUAAACCCCUGUCAGAUGGGACGAACCACAGGCCGGCGAAUAGGCGGCUUGUCUGACGGUACCAUCAGAGGAAGCUCCGGCUAACUCCGUGCCAGCAGCCGCGGUAAUACGGAGGGAGCGAGCGUUGUUCGGAAUCACUGGGCGUAAAGGGCGCGUAGGCGGCCGCGUAAGUCGCGUGUGAAAGGCCGGGGCUCAACCCCGUGUACUGCAUGCGAUACUGCGCGGCUUGAGAAAGGUAGAGGUGAGCGGAAUUCCCGGUGUAGCGGUGGAAUGCGUAGAUAUCGGGAAGAACACCAGUGGCGAAGGCGGCUCGCUGGGCCUUUUCUGACGCUGAAGCGCGAAAGCGUGGGGAGCAAACAGGAUUAGAUACCCUGGUAGUCCACGCCGUAAACGCUGGGUACUAGGUGUUGGGAGGAUUGACCCUUUCAGUGCCGACGCUAACGCAUUAAGUACCCCGCCUGGGGAGUACGG
This 664-nucleotide ribosomal RNA is filed under the name uncultured Nitriliruptor sp. Its description in RNAcentral is "bacterial SSU rRNA". It matches the Rfam family "Bacterial small subunit ribosomal RNA", at positions 232 to 885 of the family's 1533-position model. Lineage: Bacteria; Bacillati; Actinomycetota; Nitriliruptoria; Nitriliruptorales; Nitriliruptoraceae. The record is from RNAcentral.